AAGAACGACUCUCGGCAACGGAUAUCUCGGCUCUUGCAUCGAUGAAGAACGUAGCGAAAUGCGAUACUUGGUGUGGAUUGCAGAAUCCCGUGAACCAUCGAGUCUUUGAACGCAAGUUGCGCCCGAAGCCAUUAGGCCGAGGGCACGCCUGCCUGGGUGUCACAC
Molecule: ribosomal RNA, 165 nt
Filed under: Lespedeza buergeri
Lineage: Eukaryota; Viridiplantae; Streptophyta; Magnoliopsida; Fabales; Fabaceae
Description: 5.8S ribosomal RNA
Rfam family: 5.8S ribosomal RNA
About the family: 5.8S ribosomal RNA (5.8S rRNA) is a component of the large subunit of the eukaryotic ribosome. It is transcribed by RNA polymerase I as part of the 45S precursor that also contains 18S and 28S rRNA.
Source: RNAcentral